GACGAACGCUAGCGGCAGGCCUAAUACAUGCAAGUCGAACGGAUAUAUGUUUUUCGGAAUAUAUAUUAGUGGCGCACGGGUGAGUAACACGUACAUAACUUGCCCUCAAGCGGGGGAUAGCCUUGGGAAACUGAGAGUAAUACCCCAUAGAAUUAUUGGACGGCAUCGUUUGAUAAUUAAAACUACGGUGUUUGGGGAUAGAUGUGCGUCUGAUUAGCUAGUUGGUGAGGUAACUGCUCACCAAGGCGACGAUCAGUAGGGGGCGUGAGAGCGUGGCCCCCCACACGGGUACUGAGACACGGACCCGACUCCUACGGGAGGCAGCAGUAAGGAAUAUUGGUCAAUGGAGGGAACUCUGAACCAGCCAUGCCGCGUGAAGGAUGACGGCCCUCUGGGUUGUAAACUCUUUUGGAUGGGGCGAAAAACGGGAUUUAUCCUGGACUGACGGUACCAUCAGAAUAAGCACCGGCUAACUCCGUGCCAGCAGCCCGGUAAAAGUCACGUCG
RNAcentral lists this ribosomal RNA (506 nucleotides) under uncultured bacterium. Its description in RNAcentral is "bacterial SSU rRNA". It matches the Rfam family "Bacterial small subunit ribosomal RNA", at positions 28 to 534 of the family's 1533-position model. The record is from RNAcentral.